CACAGCAGGUGGCCCUGGUUGCAGGGGAUGCGGGUGUGGGUGGUGGGCAGGGCUGGGUCGCCCUCUCCAUGCAGCCUCUCUGCAGAAGGGCUUGCUGGCCUCCUUACAGCAUGGCGGUCUCAGGGCAGCUGGAGGAUGCGGGGCCUCCGUGGGCUGCCAAACGAGCGUUCCGGCUGGCAAGGUGGAAGCUGCAGAAUCCCGACGUCUUUUCAGACCUAACGUCCCAGGCAGGAGGCAGCGCUUGGACCACAUUUUGUUGGCUGCCAGUGAAUCCCACACCUGCCCAAGUUCAAGGGGAGGAAAGUCAGAUCCUGACGCUGAUGGAGCGGUGGGUUCCAGCAGGCCAGGCGUGCCCAGAUUUGCAUCGGAGACCGAAUCCCCAAAUGUCUGUUCUGGACGAGGAAGAGAAACCCGAGCUGGUACACUUGCUGUCUCAGCCGUGCUGCCUCCAUCUCAUGACCCCAGGGAAAGGCCUUCACCAGACCCCUGCAGACACUGCCACCACACUGCCAGGCUUCCCCGUCUCCAGAGCUGGAGGUUUGGGAAAUGAACGAGGUUGGGCAAGAAAUGAGCGAGAACCGCGGCCACGGCCCAGCUCCCCUUCACGCCUCCCCCUGCACCAAUAUGGCGGCUGCUCCGAGACUCCUCACCUCUUCUCUGCACCCCGGGUGCCCUCAGCAUGAGGGUCGAGUGUGUCCCUCAGGCCCAUGUGUCCUCCUCAUCCUGGACACACACACUUCA
Long non-coding RNA from Sciurus carolinensis (gray squirrel), 741 nucleotides. RefSeq lists it as uncharacterized. The record is from RefSeq and is a predicted model, not a curated record. The transcript has 3 exons. Lineage: Eukaryota; Metazoa; Chordata; Mammalia; Rodentia; Sciuridae.